Molecule: ribosomal RNA, 935 nt
Filed under: Priestia endophytica
Lineage: Bacteria; Bacillati; Bacillota; Bacilli; Caryophanales; Bacillaceae
Description: bacterial SSU rRNA
Rfam family: Bacterial small subunit ribosomal RNA
Source: RNAcentral
GCGGGCCUAUACAUGCAAGUCGAGCGGAGAUUUGAAAAGCUUGCUUUUCAAAUCUUAGCGGCGGACGGGUGAGUAACACGUGGGCAACCUGCCCUUGAGACGGGGAUAACUCCGGGAAACCGGAGCUAAUACCGGAUAACACAUAUCUUCGCAUGAUGAUAUGUUAGAAGGUGGCUUUUAGCUACCACUCAAGGAUGGGCCCGCGGCGCAUUAGCUAGUUGGUGAGGUAACGGCUCACCAAGGCGACGAUGCGUAGCCGACCUGAGAGGGUGAUCGGCCACACUGGGACUGAGACACGGCCCAGACUCCUACGGGAGGCAGCAGUAGGGAAUCUUCCGCAAUGGACGAAAUCUGACGGAGCAACGCCGCGUGAGUGAUGAAGGUUUUCGGAUCGUAAAGCUCUGUUGUUAGGGAAGAACAAGUAUCUGUUGAAUAAGCAGGUACCUUGACGGUACCUAACCAGAAAGCCACGGCUAACUACGUGCCAGCAGCCGCGGUAAUACGUAGGUGGCAAGCGUUGUCCGGAAUUAUUGGGCGUAAAGCGCGCGCAGGCGGUUCCUUAAGUCUGAUGUGAAAGCCCACGGCUCAACCGUGGAGGGUCAUUGGAAACUGGGGAACUUGAGUGCAGAAGAGGAGAGCGGAAUUCCACGUGUAGCGGUGAAAUGCGUAGAGAUGUGGAGGAACACCAGUGGCGAAAGCGGCUCUCUGGUCUGUAACUGACGCUGAGGCGCGAAAGCGUGGGGAGCGAACAGGAUUAGAUACCCUGGUAGUCCACGCCGUAAACGAUGAGUGCUAAGUGUUAGAGGGUUUCCGCCCUUUAGUGCUGCAGCAAACGCAUUAAGCACUCCGCCUGGGGAGUACGGUCGCAAGACUGAAACUCAAAGAAUUGACGGGGACCCGCACAAGCGGUGGAGCAUGUGGUUUAAUUCGAAGCA